Molecule: long non-coding RNA, 705 nt
Filed under: Manihot esculenta (cassava)
Lineage: Eukaryota; Viridiplantae; Streptophyta; Magnoliopsida; Malpighiales; Euphorbiaceae
Description: long non-coding RNA (MESC_LNC000586)
Source: RNAcentral
CAAAAGACAACCACACUCCGCAGCCGCCAGUCCUCCUCUACUCCACAGCCGACAGCCACCAUCUCUUCGUAUCGGCGUCACCAUCUCCUGCUUCAGCAUUAAUCGGCGCCACUAGGAGCAGGGUAGGUCGACUGUGCAGUAACUCCUCAAUUUCACGCGCCGGCAGCUCCUUCCUCUUUCGCACACCGGGUCUGUCCUCCACGAUUUUUUUUAAUUGUUUAGUUCUGAAAUGCUUCUUUGUAUUUGAAAAUUUAAAGAAUUCAAGACUAUUGUUAUGGUUAUAAGAAGCUAAUAGCAAAACAGAGAUGGUAUAUGCUUGUUCAUCAGCCAAACCCUUAUUGUCACUCAUGCGCAGGGGAGGUACCUUCAACUUGGGACGGGUGUAGGAAUUAUAUUCAUAAACGGAUUCGAGUUUGGGUACCUCCUCAAUUUCACGGGUACCGUACCAGUUUACAUCCCUAUGGACAUGAAACCCUCAAUUUCACGGUUUCCAUACUCAAGAAAGUUUGCCUUUAUAUAGUAAUUGCUUAUUUGAGAAUCUUUUGAGUUUAAUACUGAAUAAUUUUGCGUCAGAGUAGUCUCAAUUGCAGAGUGGACCAUAUUAGGGGAUUGAACCAGUUGGCACCACUCUUUAUUCCUAUCUCAUGCAGCUACAUGCUACAUAUAACAAUCUUGCCAUUUUGCUUCCCUAUUUCCUUCUACCAG